GACGAACGCUGGCGGCGUGCUUAACACAUGCAAGUCGAACGGAAAGGCCCUGCUUUUGUGUGGUGCUCGAGUGGCGAACGGGUGAGUAACACGUGAGUAACCUGCCCUUGACUUUGUGAUAUCUUCAGGAAACUGGGGCUAAUACCGGAUAGGAGCUCCUGCUGCAUGGUGGGGGUUGGAAAGCUUCGGCGGUUGGGGAUGGACUCGCGGCUUAUCAGCUUGUUGGUGGGGUAGUGGCUUACCAAGGCUUUGACGGGUAGCCGGCCUGAGAGGGUGACCGGCCACAUUGGGACUGAGAUACGGCGCAGACUCCUACGGGAGGCAGCAGUGGGGAAUAUUGCACAAUGGGCGGAAGCCUGAUGCAGCAACGCCGCGUGCGGGAUGACGGCCUUCGGGUUGUAAACCGCUUUCGCCUGUGACGAAGCGUGAGUGACGGUAAUGGGUAAAGAAGCACCGGCUAACUACGUG
This 468-nucleotide ribosomal RNA is filed under the name uncultured bacterium. RNAcentral's name for it is "partial 16S ribosomal RNA". It matches the Rfam family "Bacterial small subunit ribosomal RNA", at positions 28 to 507 of the family's 1533-position model. The record is from RNAcentral.